UAUAUUUUAGUAUAAGGUGUACGAAAGUUUUUGAAAUUUUAAGUAAUAGUUAAAUUCUAUUAAAUGUAA
This 69-nucleotide transfer RNA is filed under the name Curculionoidea sp. 23 KM-2017. RNAcentral describes it as "tRNA-Gln". It matches the Rfam family "tRNA". From Rfam's summary of the family: Transfer RNA (tRNA) molecules are approximately 80 nucleotides in length. Their secondary structure includes four short double-helical elements and three loops (D, anti-codon, and T loops). The record is from RNAcentral. Lineage: Eukaryota; Metazoa; Arthropoda; Insecta; Coleoptera.